RNAcentral lists this ribosomal RNA (273 nucleotides) under uncultured bacterium. Its description in RNAcentral is "partial 16S ribosomal RNA". It matches the Rfam family "Bacterial small subunit ribosomal RNA", at positions 524 to 796 of the family's 1533-position model. The record is from RNAcentral.
AACGUAGGAGCCAAGCGUUAUCCGAAUUCACUGGGCGUAAAGCGCGUGUAGGCGGUGGGCUAAGUUGGCUGUGAAAUCUCCUGGCUCAACUGGGAGAGGACGGUCAAGACUGGCGCACUGGAGGACGGUAGAGGGAGGUGGAAUUCCCGGUGUAGUGGUGAAAUGCGUAGAUAUCGGGAGGAACACCAGUGGCGAAAGCGGCCUCCUGGACCGUUUCUGACGCUCAGACGCGAAAGCUAGGGGAGCGAACGGGAUUAGAAACCCCAGUAGUCC